This 492-nucleotide ribosomal RNA is filed under the name Escherichia coli. RNAcentral describes it as "bacterial LSU rRNA". It matches the Rfam family "Bacterial large subunit ribosomal RNA", at positions 1 to 523 of the family's 2925-position model. Lineage: Bacteria; Pseudomonadati; Pseudomonadota; Gammaproteobacteria; Enterobacterales; Enterobacteriaceae. The record is from RNAcentral.
GGGUUGUGAGGUUAAGCGACUAAGCGUACACGGUGGAUGCCCUGGCAGUCAGAGGCGAUGAAGGACGUGCUAAUCUGCGAUAAGCGUCGGUAAGGUGAUAUGAACCGUUAUAACCGGCGAUUUCCGAAUGGGGAAACCCAGUGUGAUUCGUCACACUAUCAUUAACUGAAUCCAUAGGUUAAUGAGGCGAACCGGGGGAACUGAAACAUCUAAGUACCCCGAGGAAAAGAAAUCAACCGAGAUUCCCCCAGUAGCGGCGAGCGAACGGGGAGCAGCCCAGAGCCUGAAUCAGUGUGUGUGUUAGUGGAAGCGUCUGGAAAGGCGUGCGAUACAGGGUGACAGCCCCGUACACAAAAAUGCACAUACUGUGAGCUCGAUGAGUAGGGCGGGACACGUGGUAUCCUGUCUGAAUAUGGGGGGACCAUCCUCCAAGGCUAAAUACUCCUGACUGACCGAUAGUGAACCAGUACCGUGAGGGAAAGGCGAAAAGAA